RNAcentral lists this transfer RNA (85 nucleotides) under Nitrosomonadales bacterium. RNAcentral's name for it is "tRNA-Leu". It matches the Rfam family "tRNA". Rfam says of the family: Transfer RNA (tRNA) molecules are approximately 80 nucleotides in length. Their secondary structure includes four short double-helical elements and three loops (D, anti-codon, and T loops). The record is from RNAcentral. RNAcentral also lists the same sequence under 1 other name. Lineage: Bacteria; Pseudomonadati; Pseudomonadota; Betaproteobacteria; Nitrosomonadales.
GCGAAAGUGGCGGAAUUGGUAGACGCACUGGAUUUAGGUUCCAGCGUUGUAAGACGUGAGAGUUCGAGUCUCUCCUUUCGCACCA